This 415-nucleotide long non-coding RNA is filed under the name Bos taurus (domestic cattle). RNAcentral's name for it is "long non-coding RNA NONBTAT022545". Lineage: Eukaryota; Metazoa; Chordata; Mammalia; Artiodactyla; Bovidae. The record is from RNAcentral.
GUAAAUUAUUUUUUUUCCAAUAUUUUGAAGAUGAAAGGCUAAGACACAGGUAUUUUCCAAAAAUGUCUCAGCAAACUCCAGUUUUUAUCACCUCUUGCUGGCUGAAAUUGGUAGCAUUCUGAAAUCCAGGCUUUUACUGCUGUUGACUCUUUAUAGCUGAGUAAUAAUGUCAUGGCAUAUUACGGAUAAUUGUGAUAAUUGGCAGCUUUUCAUGUGUGGGAGCUUAAAAUACAUGGAUACCUAAGUAUUUUAAAAAAUUAUCCACCUUAAUGAAUGCUAUUUGCCUGUUUCAAUUUCUUAGCUAAUUUGAAACAGAAAAAGUAACCGUCUAAUUUACCUGUCUAGAGCCUGCCAGCAUAUAAAUCAAUAGUCAUUUUCUGGAUAUGUUGAAGGAGAGGUGAGUUCAAGCAUGGAG